Non-coding RNA from Acanthosepion pharaonis, 99 nucleotides. The record is from the annotation of a GenBank genome assembly. NCBI's taxonomy places the organism in Eukaryota, Metazoa, Mollusca, Cephalopoda, Sepiida, Sepiidae.
GUUGAAACACCAGUUCCCGUAUGAUCACUUAAACUAAGCAACAUCAAGCCUGGUCAGUACCUAGAUGGGUGACCACUUAGGAAUAUCAUGUGUGGUAAG